Molecule: ribosomal RNA, 805 nt
Filed under: Fusarium chlamydosporum
Lineage: Eukaryota; Fungi; Ascomycota; Sordariomycetes; Hypocreales; Nectriaceae
Description: LSU rRNA
Rfam family: Eukaryotic large subunit ribosomal RNA
Source: RNAcentral
CGGCGAGUGAAGCGGCAACAGCUCAAAUUUGAAAUCUGGCUCUCGGGCCCGAGUUGUAAUUUGUAGAGGAUGCUUUUGAUGCGGUGCCUUCCGAGUUCCCUGGAACGGGACGCCAUAGAGGGUGAGAGCCCCGUCUGGUUGGAUGCCAAAUCUCUGUAAAGCUCCUUCGACGAGUCGAGUAGUUUGGGAAUGCUGCUCUAAAUGGGAGGUAUAUGUCUUCUAAAGCUAAAUAUUGGCCAGAGACCGAUAGCGCACAAGUAGAGUGAUCGAAAGAUGAAAAGCACUUUGAAAAGAGAGUUAAAAAGUACGUGAAAUUGUUGAAAGGGAAGCGUUUAUGACCAGACUUGGGCUUGGUUAAUCAUCUGGGGUUCUCCCCAGUGCACUUUUCCAGUCCAGGCCAGCAUCAGUUUUCGCCGGGGGAUAAAGGCUUCGGGAAUGUGGCUCCCUCCGGGGAGUGUUAUAGCCCGUUGCGUAAUACCCUGGCGGGGACUGAGGUUCGCGCAUCUGCAAGGAUGCUGGCGUAAUGGUCAUCAACGACCCGUCUUGAAACACGGACCAAGGAGUCGUCUUCGUAUGCGAGUGUUCGGGUGUCAAACCCCUACGCGUAAUGAAAGUGAACGCAGGUGAGAGCUUCGGCGCAUCAUCGACCGAUCCUGAUGUUCUCGGAUGGAUUUGAGUAAGAGCAUACGGGGCCGGACCCGAAAGAAGGUGAACUAUGCCUGUGUAGGGUGAAGCCAGAGGAAACUCUGGUGGAGGCUCGCAGCGGUUCUGACGUGCAAAUCGAUCGUCAAACAUGGGCAUGGGG